RNAcentral lists this ribosomal RNA (247 nucleotides) under uncultured bacterium. RNAcentral describes it as "partial 16S ribosomal RNA". It matches the Rfam family "Bacterial small subunit ribosomal RNA", at positions 1066 to 1320 of the family's 1533-position model. The record is from RNAcentral.
CGUGAGAUGUUGGGUUAAGUCCCGCAACGAGCGCAACCCUUGCCAUUAGUUGCUACGAAAGGGCACUCUAAUGGGACUGCCGGUGACAAACCGGAGGAAGGUGGGGAUGACGUCAGGUCAUCAUGGCCCUUAUGGGUAGGGCUACACACGUCAUACAAUGGCCGGUACAGAGGGCUGCCAACCCGCGAGGGGGAGCCAAUCCCAGAAAACGGUCGUAGUCCGGAUCGUAGUCUGCAACUCGACUGCG